GGGGGCUCCGCGGCGGCGGUAGCGGCCGGGUGUGUUCCUUUCGCGCUCGGAUCCGACACCGGCGGUUCAAACCGCCUGCCCGCC
RNAcentral lists this transfer RNA (84 nucleotides) under Thermotogota bacterium ADurb.Bin062. RNAcentral describes it as "Thermotogae bacterium ADurb.Bin062 tRNA-Arg". The record is from RNAcentral. Lineage: Bacteria; Thermotogati; Thermotogota.